This 538-nucleotide long non-coding RNA is filed under the name Medicago truncatula (barrel medic). RNAcentral's name for it is "long non-coding RNA (MTRU_LNC004282)". Lineage: Eukaryota; Viridiplantae; Streptophyta; Magnoliopsida; Fabales; Fabaceae. The record is from RNAcentral.
CUCAUAAAGUUCCGAAUCGGGCCCUCUUCUCCCAGUCUUUAAUUAUUUAUUUCCAUCUUUUAAAUUUUUAGUUUAGAAUUCUAAUUUUAAUUUUAAUCCAAGAUAGAUUAAAUUUCUUUUAUUCCCAUUUUAAAUUUUUCCUUUUAUUUAAAACCAAAAAUGUAGAUAUUAUCCUUUUAUUAUUAAUUUUUCUUUUUUAAUUAAGUCCCAAAAUUGUCCAAAGUCUCAAAAAUGUCCAAAAUGGUCCAAGUUCAACGCGUCCCCAAAGCUGCGAUCUAUCACGCGUUCCAAUCCAAACAGUCUGUAUGCUCAAUCUCAAUCCAAAUCCAGUUCAAGCCUCAUCCGCCAAAAAACCCAGGAACACAAACGCGUCUCCAUCUUUCAUCCAAAUCCGAUUCCAUCCCAAUCACCUAAUUUCUGCGGAUUUUAAACAAACCCUAGCCUCAACCCAGCACUAUAAAUAGAGCCCUGCACAACACAAGAACAACACACUGGAUCACACAGCAGAACACGGAAAAACAACAGAAGGAGAGGAAGC